GAUGAAGAACGUAGCGAAAUGCGAUAAGUAAUGUGAAUUGCAGAAUUCAGUGAAUCAUCGAAUCUUUGAACGCACCUUGCGCCCUUUGGCCACUCCGAAGGGCAUGCCUGUUUGAGUAUCAUGAACACCUCAACUCUUUAUGGUUUUCCAUGAUGAGCUUGGACUCUGGGGGUUUUGCUGGCUCACAGUCGGCUCCUCUAAAAUGAAUCAGCUUACCAGUGUUUGGUGGGUAUCAUGGGUGUGAUAACUAUCUACGCUUGUGGUUUUUCCACCAGGUAACCUUCAGCAGUGGAGGUUCGCUGGAGCUCAUAGAUGUCUCUCCUCAGUGAGGACAGCCCUUUGAAUGUUUGAUCUCAAAUCAGGUAGGACUACCCGCUGAACUUAAGCAUAUCAAUAAGCGGAGGA
RNAcentral lists this unclassified non-coding RNA (405 nucleotides) under soil metagenome. RNAcentral describes it as "partial contains 5.8S ribosomal RNA, internal transcribed spacer 2, and large subunit ribosomal RNA". The stretch from base 1 to 121 matches the Rfam family "5.8S ribosomal RNA", at positions 35 to 154 of the family's 154-position model. The record is from RNAcentral.